AUUGAACGCUGGCGGCAGGCCUAACACAUGCAAGUCGAACGGUAACAGGAAACAGCUUGCUGUUUCGCUGACGAGUGGCGGACGGGUGAGUAAUGUCUGGGAAACUGCCUGAUGGAGGGGGAUAACUACUGGAAACGGUAGCUAAUACCGCAUAACGUCGCAAGACCAAAGAGGGGGACCCUCGGGCCUCUUGCCAUCGGAUGUGCCCAGAUGGGAUUAGCUUGUUGGUGGGGUAACGGCUCACCAAGGCGAUGAUCCCUAGCUGGUCUGAGAGGAUGACCAGCCACACUGGAACUGAGACACGGUCCAGACUCCUACGGGAGGCAGCAGUGGGGAAUAUUGCACAAUGGGCGCAAGCCUGAUGCAGCCAUGCCGCGUGUAUGAAGAAGGCCUUCGGGUUGUAAAGUACUUUCAGCGGGGAGGAAGGGAGUAAAGUUAAUACCUUUGCUCAUUGACGUUACCCGCAGAAGAAGCACCGGCUAACUCCGUG
RNAcentral lists this ribosomal RNA (490 nucleotides) under uncultured bacterium. RNAcentral's name for it is "partial 16S ribosomal RNA". It matches the Rfam family "Bacterial small subunit ribosomal RNA", at positions 30 to 507 of the family's 1533-position model. The record is from RNAcentral.